Long non-coding RNA from Syzygium oleosum, 390 nucleotides. RefSeq lists it as uncharacterized. Lineage: Eukaryota; Viridiplantae; Streptophyta; Magnoliopsida; Myrtales; Myrtaceae. The record is from RefSeq and is a predicted model, not a curated record. The transcript has 2 exons.
CUCCCCGUUCGUGCUUCCGUGAGGAGAAAGAGCUUCUUGCGCGCGGCGUGGGAGAUAUGGAAGGAGGAGGGCAGUACAAUCCUCGGACUGUGGAGGAGUUCUUCAGGGAUUUCAAGGGUCAUCGAGCCGGUAUGAUCAAAGCUCUAACCACUGAUGUCGAGGAAUUCUAUCAGCAGUGCGAUCCGGGUUAGGGUUCUGAUCCGCUUACUCUGUAUUAUAGUUAGAACUUUAUCGGGGAAAAAUAAAUAAAGAAUAUGGUAUUGCAUUGCUUGAUGUCAGACAUUUUGCUGUGGCAGUAGAUUUCACUGUCUCGCGAGUUCUUUGUAAUGGAGAUGUUUUUGCAAGUUUGGUUCUUGAGCUUAAUGAUGCAGUUUUUUUCUCCUUUUGGGA